AAUUAUCGAAGGAUAUAUGACCUGAAUUCAUAAUU
Molecule: regulatory RNA element, 35 nt
Organism: Flavobacteria bacterium BAL38
Lineage: Bacteria; Pseudomonadati; Bacteroidota; Flavobacteriia; Flavobacteriales
Rfam family: S4-Flavobacteria ribosomal protein leader
Source: Rfam